GAUGAACGCUGGCGGCGUGCCUAAUACAUGCAAGUCGAGCGAACGGACGAGAAGCUUGCUUCUCUGAUGUUAGCGGCGGACGGGUGAGUAACACGUGGAUAACCUACCUAUAAGACUGGGAUCACUUCGGGAAACCGGCGCUAAUCCCGGAUGAUAUUUUGAACCGCAUGGUUCAAUAGUGAAAGACGGUCUUGCUGUCACUUCUCGCUGGAUCCGCGCUGCAUUAGCUAGUUGGUAAGGUAACGGCUUACCAAGGCAACGAUGCAUAGCCGACCUGAGAGGGUGAUCGGCCACACUGGAACUGAGACACGGUACAGACGCCUACGGGAGGCAGCAGUAGGGAAUCUUCCGCAAUGGGCGAAAGACUGACGGAGCAACGCCGAGUGAGUGAUGAAGGUCUUCGGAUCGUAAAACUCUGUUAUUAGGGAAGAACAUAUGUGUAAGUAACUGUGCACAUCUUGACGGUACAUAAUCAGAAAGCCACGGCUAACUACGUG
Molecule: ribosomal RNA, 497 nt
Filed under: uncultured bacterium
Lineage: Bacteria
Description: partial 16S ribosomal RNA
Rfam family: Bacterial small subunit ribosomal RNA
Source: RNAcentral